RNAcentral lists this long non-coding RNA (523 nucleotides) under Ananas comosus (pineapple). Its description in RNAcentral is "long non-coding RNA (ACOM_LNC016722)". The record is from RNAcentral. Lineage: Eukaryota; Viridiplantae; Streptophyta; Magnoliopsida; Poales; Bromeliaceae.
GUAACAUACCGGAUUUUUAAUUUAAAAGUGAAUGUAAAUAAAAAUAGUGUGAGAUACUACAUUUAUUGGAUUUAAAGAGGUAAAAUAUAAGUCUGGAAUGACUCGUGCUGAAAUCGGAACGAAAACAGAAAAUUUAGAAUUUUCUGUGAGAAACGGAGCUGAUAUUUUAGCAGAAAAUGCACAAUGUUAGAAAAUUAUGAAAACAGGAGAAUAUGUCAAACUUAUUUUUAUGAGGUUAGAUUUAAAGUUUCAUGUCAUUCUGACACCCGGAAGGUGGAAAAAUAAAAUCCGACUGCUAUCUGCUAGAGAUUACAGUUCGGUAGAACUUUCGGUGACCAAACGGGGGCGAAACUGAAAGAUUAAAAUUUCUUUCAUUAAGUUAAGUAAAACCGAGCCUGACUAUCAAAUUUGAGCUCAAACGGAUAUUCAGAAGGGCAGGCGAAAAUUAUAUGUACUUGAGUUGAUAAACCGAAAUUAAAUUGUGUAUUGUUGAGGGGGCUAUUGUGUAACAAAAGGAGCUUUU